Molecule: ribosomal RNA, 253 nt
Filed under: uncultured bacterium
Lineage: Bacteria
Description: partial 16S ribosomal RNA
Rfam family: Bacterial small subunit ribosomal RNA
Source: RNAcentral
UACAGAGGUCUCGAGCGUUAGGCGGAAUCACUGGGCUUAAAGCGUGUGUAGGCGGAUCGUUAAGUACCUUGUGAAAUCCCACGGCUUAACCAUGGAACUGCUUGGUAUACUGGCGGUCUUGAGCCAGCUAGGGGCUACCGGAACAAAUGGUGGAGCGGUGAAAUGCGUAGAUAUCAUUUGGAACGCCAAUGGUGAAAACAGACUGCUGGGGCUGUGCUGACGCUGAGACACGAAAGCCAGGGGAGCGAACGGG